GUCCACGGCCAUGCCACCUUGAAGAAGCCCAAUGUAGGAUCUUGGAAGCUAAACAGGGUCAGGCCUGGUUAGUACUUGGAUGGGAGACCACCUAGGAAGACCACGUGCUGUAGGCA
This 116-nucleotide ribosomal RNA is filed under the name Pteropus alecto (black flying fox). Lineage: Eukaryota; Metazoa; Chordata; Mammalia; Chiroptera; Pteropodidae. The record is from RNAcentral.